UGCAUCGGCCGGGAAUCGACCCUGGCCGCCCGCGUGGCAGGCGAGCAUUCUACCACUGAACCACCGAUGC
Non-coding RNA from Cordylochernes scorpioides, 70 nucleotides. Lineage: Eukaryota; Metazoa; Arthropoda; Arachnida; Pseudoscorpiones; Chernetidae. The record is from the annotation of a GenBank genome assembly.